This 737-nucleotide ribosomal RNA is filed under the name uncultured Corynebacterium sp. Its description in RNAcentral is "bacterial SSU rRNA". It matches the Rfam family "Bacterial small subunit ribosomal RNA", at positions 28 to 776 of the family's 1533-position model. The record is from RNAcentral. Lineage: Bacteria; Bacillati; Actinomycetota; Actinomycetes; Mycobacteriales; Corynebacteriaceae.
GACGAACGCUGGCGGCGUGCUUAACACAUGCAAGUCGAACGGAAAGGCCUGCAGCUUGCUGCGGGUACUCGAGUGGCGAACGGGUGAGUAACACGUGGGUGAUCUGCCUUGCACUUCGGGAUAAGCUUGGGAAACUGGGUCUAAUACCGGAUAGGACAGCUGUUUAGUGUCAGUUGUGGAAAGUUUUUUCGGUGCAAGAUGAGCUCGCGGCCUAUCAGCUUGUUGGUGGGGUAAUGGCCUACCAAGGCGUCGACGGGUAGCCGGCCUGAGAGGGUGUACGGCCACAUUGGGACUGAGAUACGGCCCAGACUCCUACGGGAGGCAGCAGUGGGGAAUAUUGCACAAUGGGCGGAAGCCUGAUGCAGCGACGCCGCGUGGGGGAUGAAGGCCUUCGGGUUGUAAACUCCUUUCGACAGGGACGAAGCGUAAGUGACGGUACCUGUAUAAGAAGCGCCGGCUAACUACGUGCCAGCAGCCGCGGUAAUACGUAGGGUGCGAGCGUUGUCCGGAAUUACUGGGCGUAAAGAGCUCGUAGGUGGUUUGUCGCGUCGUCUGUGAAAUUCCGGGGCUUAACUCCGGGCGUGCAGGCGAUACGGGCUGACUUGAGUGCUGUAGGGGAGACUGGAAUUCCUGGUGUAGCGGUGAAAUGCGCAGAUAUCAGGAGGAACACCGAUGGCGAAGGCAGGUCUCUGGGCAGUAACUGACGCUGAGGAGCGAAAGCAUGGGUAGCGAACAGG